Molecule: ribosomal RNA, 368 nt
Filed under: uncultured eukaryote
Lineage: Eukaryota
Description: partial 18S ribosomal RNA
Rfam family: Eukaryotic small subunit ribosomal RNA
Source: RNAcentral
CAGUAGCGUAUAUUAAAGUUGUUGCAGUUAAAAUGCUCGUAGUUGAAGUUCGGAUGCAGCAGAGCUUGGAAACGCUGUUAUGGUGCUUCCGUUGCUUUUGCUUGUCCACAGUGCGUUGCAAGUACGUAUGUGCUUGUGCGUGCAUUUUACUUUGAGAAACAUAGGGUGUUCCACGCAUGUUACGGCAUGAAUAUUCCAGCAUGGGAUAAUCUGGUACGAAUUCCAAUCUGCCAUUUUGGUUCGUAGGUUGGAAGUAAUGAUUAAUAGGGACUGUCGGGGGCAUUGGUAUUUGACUGUCAGAGGUGAAAUUCUUAGAUUCGUUGAGGACCAACCACUGCGAAAGCAUUUGUCAAGGAUGUCUCCAUUAA